GGAUGUGAGGACAAUCUGGCUGUGACAGCUGUCACCCCAUUUAUCCCCAGGGUAGAUUUGGCUCCUCUGGCUGGCUAGGCAGGGGUCCUAUGUGCAUUCCGCUGGAAGCUGAGUGCUCACUCGGUGGAAGAGGUUGACCUUCCCAGAUAGAGGAGAACUGUCUUUUGUUCAAGGGGAUACAAGUAGCUGCGUUCCCUGCUAGAACCGCCAAACAAGCUCUCAAAGUCCCCCAAAUGAGCCCUAGAUGUUCAAAGAAAUGUAUACCAUGUACAUAAUAUAUCUCUUU
This 286-nucleotide small nuclear RNA is filed under the name Camelus bactrianus (Bactrian camel). RNAcentral's name for it is "7SK RNA". It matches the Rfam family "7SK RNA". From Rfam's summary of the family: 7SK was discovered as an abundant small nuclear RNA in the mid-70s but a possible function has only recently been suggested. Two independent studies have found that 7SK RNA binds the CDK9/cyclin T complex (known as elongation factor P-TEFb). The record is from Rfam by way of RNAcentral. Lineage: Eukaryota; Metazoa; Chordata; Mammalia; Artiodactyla; Camelidae. RNAcentral also lists the same sequence under 2 other names.